Molecule: ribosomal RNA, 576 nt
Filed under: Triticum aestivum (bread wheat)
Lineage: Eukaryota; Viridiplantae; Streptophyta; Magnoliopsida; Poales; Poaceae
Description: partial small subunit ribosomal RNA
Source: RNAcentral
AUGGCGCAGACCUACAGCCGCCUGGUGUUAGUGUUGGAUGGGAGGCUCGAAGGAGAAGGUCACUCCAACGGUCGCAGGGAACUGCACGUGGCAUACUCAGAUCGACGCAGCGACUUUGACAGAGCAAACUUGGUAGUGCUACAACACCUAGACGAGGUAGAUCCUUUCGUGGCACUGCACAAAGAAAUUAUCGCAAAGAAGUAUCGUGACCGGGGGGUAUGCAGGACGGACGCCGAAGUUACUAGAGAGCACAACUCCACUUUUCUGCAUUGGUUCAAAGAGCAUAUUAUUGCUAAUCCCCCGGAGGAGGGCUCUAAGGACGGAUUGCUCAUAUACGCCUUAGCACAUGGCCCCUCGCCCAACCUCGUAACCUAUCAGACAUACGAUAUCAAUGGAUACACGUUCUACACGGAGGCCAAAGAUAUGGACAGUGAUGAUCAGAACUCAGGGGUGACGAUGGAAUGCAUGACCGGCAGCGACAACGGCGCAACUGAAAGAUUUUACGGAAGGGUCGAGGAGAUCUGGGAGCUUGACUACGCUGGACUGCACAACACGACGAUGUUCCGUGUCAGAUGG